UUUAUGGAGAGUUUGAUCCUGGCUCAGGAUGAACGCUGGCGGCGUGCCUAAUACAUGCAAGUCGAGCGAACGGACGAGAAGCUUGCUUCUCUGAUGUUAGCGGCGGACGGGUGAGUAACACGUGGAUAACCUACCUAUAAGACUGGGAUAACUUCGGGAAACCGGAGCUAAUACCGGAUAAUAUUUUGAACCGCAUGGUUCAAAAGUGAAAGACGGUCUUGCUGUCACUUAUAGAUGGAUCCGCGCUGCAUUAGCUAGUUGGUAAGGUAACGGCUUACCAAGGCAACGAUGCAUAGCCGACCUGAGAGGGUGAUCGGCCACACUGGAACUGAGACACGGUCC
This 342-nucleotide ribosomal RNA is filed under the name Staphylococcus aureus. RNAcentral describes it as "bacterial SSU rRNA". It matches the Rfam family "Bacterial small subunit ribosomal RNA", at positions 1 to 332 of the family's 1533-position model. The record is from RNAcentral. Lineage: Bacteria; Bacillati; Bacillota; Bacilli; Caryophanales; Staphylococcaceae.